AGCAGCAAUGCUUAGUGGCGGAAGGGUGAGGAACACGUGAGUGAUCUGCCCCCAAGUUUGGAAUAACAGUCGGAAACGACUGCUAAUACCGAAUGUGGCUGGGGAUCCGCAUGGGACCCCGGCUAAAGAUUUAUCGCUUGGGGAUGAGCUCGCGUCCCAUUAGUUAGUUGGUGAGGUAACGGCCCACCAAGACAAUGAUGGGUAGCUGGUCUGAGAGGAUGGUCAGCCACACUGGGACUGAGACACUGCCCAGACUCCUACGGGAGGCUGCAGUCGAGAAUCUUGGGCAAUGCGCGAAAGCGUGACCCAGCAAUGCCGCGUGUGUGAUGAAGGUCUUCGGAUUGUAAAACACUGUCUCCCGGGACGAAAAUUGACGGUACCGGGGAAGGAAGCCACGGCUAACUACGUGCCAGCAGCCGCGGUAAUACGUAGGUGGCGAGCGUUGUUCGGAUUUAUUGGGCGUAAAGGGUCUGUAGGAGGUUUACUAAAAAUGGGGUGAAAUCCGGAAGCUCAACUGCCGAAAUUGCCUUGUUGACUGGUAAACUAGAGUUCUGGAGAGGUAAGCGGAAUACCAAGUGUAGCGGUGGAAUGCGUAGAUAUUUGGUAGAACACCAAGAGCGAAGGCAGCUUACUGGACAGAUACUGACUCUGAGAGACGAAAGCGUGGGGGAGCAAACAGGAUUAGAUACCCUGGUAGUCCACGCCGUAAACGUUGUCAACUUGAUGUGGGCGGAUUUAGUCCUGCCUGUAUCGAAGCGAACGCGCUAAGUUGACCGCCUGGGGACUACGGCCGCAAGGCUAAAACUCAAAGGAAUUGACGGGGGCCCGCACAAGCGGUGGAGCAUGUGGCUUAAUUCGAGGCAACGCGAAGAACCUUACCUGGGCUUGAAAUAUAAUGGACAGUCUGUGAAAGCAGAUCUCUCUUCGGAGCCGUUAUACAGGUGCUGCAUGGCUGUCGUCAGCUCGUGCCGUGAGGUGUUCGGUUAAGUCCGGCAACGAGCGCAACCCGUGUCAUUAGUUACCAUCAGGUAAAGCUGGGGACUCUAAUGAGACUGCCCGUGUUAAGCGGGAGGAAGGCGCGGAUGACGUCAAGUCAGUAUGGCCCUUACGUCCAGGGCUGCACACGUGCUACAAUGGGGGGUACAAUGGGAUGCGAAAUCGCGAGGUGGAGCAAAUCCACAAAACCUCUCUUAGUUCGGAUUGUAGUCUGCAACUCGACUACAUGAAGCUGGAAUCGCUAGUAAAUGCGUAUCAGCUACGACGCAUUGAAUACGUUCCCGGGCC
RNAcentral lists this ribosomal RNA (1284 nucleotides) under uncultured bacterium. Its description in RNAcentral is "bacterial SSU rRNA". It matches the Rfam family "Bacterial small subunit ribosomal RNA", at positions 81 to 1380 of the family's 1533-position model. The record is from RNAcentral.